This 457-nucleotide ribosomal RNA is filed under the name uncultured bacterium. Its description in RNAcentral is "bacterial SSU rRNA". It matches the Rfam family "Bacterial small subunit ribosomal RNA", at positions 355 to 828 of the family's 1533-position model. The record is from RNAcentral.
UGGGGAAUCUUGCACAAUGGGCGAAAGCCUGAUGCAGCAACGCCGCGUGCGGGAAGACAGCCCUAGGGUUGUAAACCGCUUUCAGCAGGGAAGAAACUGACGGUACCUGCAGAAGAAGAUGCGGCCAACUACGUGCCAGCAGCCGCGGUGACACGUAGGCAUCAAGCGUUAUCCGGAUUUAUUGGGCGUAAAGAGCUCGUAGGCGGUUCGGUAAGUCGGGUGUGAAAACUCUGGGCUCAACCCAGAGAGGCCACUCGAUACUGCUGUGACUAGAGUGCGGUAGGGGAGCGGGGAAUUCCUGGUGUAGCGGUGAAAUGCGCAGAUAUCAGGAGGAACACCAGUGGCGAAGGCGCCGCUCUGGGCCGUAACUGACGCUGAGGAGCGAAAGCAUGGGUAGCAAACAGGAUUAGAUACCCUGGUAGUCCACGCCGUAAACGAUGAGUGCUAGAUGUUGGGA